UGGAGGGUGGCUCAGUCGGUAGAGCGUUAGACUCUUAAUCUCAGGGUCGUGGGUUUGAGCUCCAUGGAGGGCAAAA
This is a non-coding RNA of Podarcis lilfordi (Lilford's wall lizard), 76 nucleotides long. NCBI's taxonomy places the organism in Eukaryota, Metazoa, Chordata, Lepidosauria, Squamata, Lacertidae. The record is from the annotation of a GenBank genome assembly.